This 391-nucleotide ribosomal RNA is filed under the name uncultured bacterium. RNAcentral describes it as "bacterial SSU rRNA". It matches the Rfam family "Bacterial small subunit ribosomal RNA", at positions 29 to 446 of the family's 1533-position model. The record is from RNAcentral.
AACGAACGCUGGCGGCAGGCCUAAUACAUGCAAGUCGAGCGCUCUAGCAAUAGAGAGCGGCGCACGGGUGCGUAACGCGUGGGAAUGUACCUCUAGGUGCGGAACAACGUCGGGAAACUGACGCUAAUACCGCAUAAUAUCUCCGGAUCAAAGAUUUAUCGCCUAGGGAUCAGCCCGCGUUGGAUUAGCUAGUUGGUGAGGUAAUGGCUCACCAAGGCGACGAUCCAUAGCUGGUCUGAGAGGAUGAUCAGCCACACUGGGACUGAGACACGGCCCAGACUCCUACGGGAGGCAGCAGUAAGGAAUAUUGCGCAAUGGAGGCAACUCUGACGCAGCCAUGCCGCGUGCAGGAAGAAGGCGCUACGCGUCGUAAACUGCUUUUACCAGGGAA